RNAcentral lists this ribosomal RNA (560 nucleotides) under Geomyces sp. RNAcentral's name for it is "LSU rRNA". It matches the Rfam family "Eukaryotic large subunit ribosomal RNA", at positions 72 to 650 of the family's 3401-position model. Lineage: Eukaryota; Fungi; Ascomycota; Leotiomycetes; Thelebolales; Pseudeurotiaceae. The record is from RNAcentral.
GGAUUACCUCAGUAACGGCGAGUGAAGCGGUAACAGCUCAAAUUUGAAAUCUGGCCUCACGGUCCGAGUUGUAAUUUGUAGAGGAUGCUUCGAGCAUGGUCUGGCCUAAGUUCCUUGGAACAGGACGUCAUAGAGGGUGAGAAUCCCGUAUGCGGCCAGGUGCCUACGCUCAUGUGAAGCUCCUUCGACGAGUCGAGUUGUUUGGGAAUGCAGCUCAAAAUGGGUGGUAAAUUUCAUCUAAAGCUAAAUAUUGGCCAGAGACCGAUAGCGCACAAGUAGAGUGAUCGAAAGAUGAAAAGCACUUUGGAAAGAGAGUUAAACAGUACGUGAAAUUGUUGAAAGGGAAGCGCUUGCAACCAGACUUGCGCGCGGCCGAUCAUCCGGUGUUCUCACCGGUGCACUCGGCCGUGCUCAGGCCAGCAUCGGUUUUGGCGGCUGGAUAAAGGCCCUAGGAAUGUAGCUCCUCUCGGGGAGUGUUAUAGCCUAGGGUGCAAUGCAGCCUGCUGGGACCGAGGACCGCGCUUCGGCUAGGAUGCUGGCGUAAUGGUUGUAAGCGGCCC